This 492-nucleotide ribosomal RNA is filed under the name uncultured bacterium. RNAcentral describes it as "partial 16S ribosomal RNA". It matches the Rfam family "Bacterial small subunit ribosomal RNA", at positions 29 to 507 of the family's 1533-position model. The record is from RNAcentral.
AGUGAACGCUGGCGGUAGGCCUAACACAUGCAAGUCGAACGGCAGCACAGUAAGAGCUUGCUCUUACGGGUGGCGAGUGGCGGACGGGUGAGGAAUACAUCGGAAUCUACUUUUUCGUGGGGGAUAACGUAGGGAAACUUACGCUAAUACCGCAUACGACCUACGGGUGAAAGCAGUGGAUCUUCGGAACUUGCGCGAUUGAAUGAGCCGAUGUCGGAUUAGCUAGUUGGCGGGGUAAAGGCCCACCAAGGCGACGAUCCGUAGCUGGUCUGAGAGGAUGAUCAGCCACACUGGAACUGAGACACGGUCCAGACUCCUACGGGAGGCAGCAGUGGGGAAUAUUGGACAAUGGGCGCAAGCCUGAUCCAGCCAUACCGCGUGGGUGAAGAAGGCCUUCGGGUUGUAAAGCCCUUUUGUUGGGAAAGAAAAGCAGCAGGUUAAUACCCCGCUGUUCUGACGGUACCCAAAGAAUAAGCACCGGCUAACUUCGUG